RNAcentral lists this ribosomal RNA (498 nucleotides) under uncultured bacterium. RNAcentral describes it as "partial 16S ribosomal RNA". It matches the Rfam family "Bacterial small subunit ribosomal RNA", at positions 30 to 523 of the family's 1533-position model. The record is from RNAcentral.
AUUAAACGCUGGCGGCAUGCCUUACACACGCAAGUCGAACGGUAACAGGUCUUCGGAUGCUGACGAGUGGCGAACGGGUGAGUAAUACAUCGGAACGUGCCUAGUAGUGGGGGAUAACUACUCGAAAGAGUGGCUAAUACCGCAUGAGAUCUACGGAUGAAAGCAGGGGAUCGCAAGACCUUGUGCUACUAGAGCGGCCGAUGGCAGAUUAGGUAGUUGGUGGGAUAAAAGCUUACCAAGCCGACGAUCUGUAGCUGGUCUGAGAGGACGAUCAGCCACACUGGGACUGAGACACGGCCCAGACUCCUACGGGGGGCAGCAGUGGGGAAUUUUGGACAAUGGGCGCAAGCCUGAUCCAGCAAUGCCGCGUGCAGGAUGAAGGCCUUCGGGUUGUAAACUGCUUUUGUACGGAACGAAAAGCCCUGGGUUAAUACCCUGGGGUCAUGACGGUACCGUAAGAAUAAGCACCGGCUAACUACGUGCCAGCCGCCGCCGUAA